CCGGCCUACGGGGGGCAGCAGUAGGGAAUAUUGCUCAAUGGGGGAAACCCUGAAGCAGCAACGCCGCGUGGAGGAUGAAGGUUUUCGGAUUGUAAACUCCUUUUGUUAGAGAAGAUAAUGACGGUAUCUAACGAAUAAGCACCGGCUAACUCCGUGCCAGCAGCCGCGGUAAUACGGAGGGUGCACGCGUUACUCGGAAUCACUGGGCGUAAAGCGCGCGUAGGCGGGAUAGCAAGUCAGAUGUGAAAUCCUAUGGCUUAACCAUAGCACUCCAUUUGAAACUGUUAUUCUAGAGUGUGGGAGUG
RNAcentral lists this ribosomal RNA (305 nucleotides) under uncultured bacterium. RNAcentral's name for it is "bacterial SSU rRNA". It matches the Rfam family "Bacterial small subunit ribosomal RNA", at positions 335 to 656 of the family's 1533-position model. The record is from RNAcentral.